GCUGCUAGAUGGAGCUCAUCCUAGGAGAUUGCGGCCCAGUAUCCUCGUGCAUGCGCAUGUCUCUUUGUGGCUUCCACCCGCCCUUGGCAAAAUUUGCAGGUAUAAACAAGCCUUACGUAGAUACAUGUGUACUAUGGGAAAUUUUUAAUGCACUCUUCUAUUAUUGUCUAACAGCAAGUCCUAGCAGUGAAUUUGCUAAGUCAGAAAUUACCCACCGUGAGACAUUUUUAUGUGGUUUGACAAGCUGCCCUUAAGAAAGGAGGUUGCAGCAUUUCGCAUUUGUUAUCAUCUCCGUGUGUGAAAGCACCUGUUUGCCACCUGCUCACCGAUGGCUGGUGUUACCCAAAUUUUGCCAAUCUCAUAAAAAGGAAAUGUUAUCUCACCAUUUAGAUUUGCUUUAUUUCAUUUUUAGUGUGGCUAGACAGCUCUUCAAAUGAUUAUAGGUCAUUUAUCUUUCUUCUUUUGAGAACUGUCAGUUCAUUUUCUGCUCAGCUUUCUACUGGGAUAUUGCCUCUAGCUGGGAUGGAUUUGCAAGUUCUCUUCAGGGAUAGCAAACUUUUGCCUGUUAUUUAUGUUGCAAAUAUACUUUCCUGUUCGCCAUUUCUAUUUUUACCUUUCCGUAUGGUAUUUGUAAAAGGAGUUUUAAGUAUUUGGGUAGUCAAAUCUAUCCUAAUUAACUCUUACAUAUAUUCUUUCCUUCAGUGGAUGAAAGAAUGAAACCAACAUGUGAGUUGAUCCAUUAGGAGUGUGACUUCCCAUCUGAGUUUCUAAAAGAAUCAGACAACUCCACAACACGCUGGCCCAGCUUCAGGUAGUAGGUGCGCUGUUUAAGAUGGUGAAAAUUUUCACUUACACACUAAAGAUUUACCUAAGCCAACUUAAGAAAACUCAGAAGGAUUUCCAGCUACUAAGCUUACCCUUCCAGCUUACCUCCUGCUUCAGCUGAGUGGUGCUAAAGUCGGACUUGGAGUUCGGAUGGUAAUGGAGGCUGUUGGGAUGGGUGUGGGUUGCUCCCAGGAUAGAUGAAAUUCAAGUCAUAACUGACUAGAGAUCAGAUUUAUAACAAGACAGUUCACCAGGCAAAGGUUCCCGGGGUUUGGGAGAGCAUGUGAGGUCUGGGCUGCAGAGAACGAUUCUAAAUUAAAGCUCCAAGUUCAAGGAAUGUGAAUGAGGCACUGACUCUAUUUCAGGGAUAGUUGGCUCAUCUGCCCAUCUGCUCUACAAGAUAUUGGUCUUCCUCUGGGCAAAACUGUGAGCUACUCGUUUCUGUAUCUAGAGCACUUAGCAGAGCGUCAAGCAUAUAUUAGGC
This is a non-coding RNA of Leptonychotes weddellii (Weddell seal), 1309 nucleotides long. NCBI's taxonomy places the organism in Eukaryota, Metazoa, Chordata, Mammalia, Carnivora, Phocidae. The record is from RefSeq and is a predicted model, not a curated record.